GUUGGAAAUAAAGUUUGCUUCCUUUUCUCUACUAAGCUAAGCCUGGUUUUCUUUUUCUUUUCUUUCUUUUUUUUAAUUGCCGAGUGCAACUGCUGUUCCUUUGAAAGAUUGCAAAACAUUGGCAUACGAGCUGGUAAACUAGAUGCAAGAGACUGAGGAACAGAAAUUAAAAACCACCUUAAAUGAAAAUAGAUUCCCCACUUUCAAUACAUUAAAGAAAAGAAUGGCAGUUCUAAAAAAAAAUAUGUGGUUGUUGUUAAUGCACAUUCUUUACUUGUUCAGUGAAGAUUCCUGAAACUCAGAAUUCAGCUGUGGCUUAGAUUUGGGGAGAUUCUUCUAAUAGGGACAGAAAGGUGAUGCCUCCUGGACUCCGCUGAAGAACCUACUGCCCCAAAGAAUUGGAGGACAGCCGGGACUAUCGCUUUGCUUAGGAGAACAUAUCCAUUGGGAAAGAAGGCAGUGAGCCCCAGAAAACACAUUGGCAGGUAUAACAUUUUGAAGCAGGAAAAGAGGGGGUGGAUCGGAGUUCAAAUUCAAGAAGUUCACAUGAAGAAAGAAGGCUCCGGACUGGACAGAUGGACCCAGCAUUCUCACUCAUGGAAAAAAGAAUAAUAAAAAUCAUGCAAGUAUGAGAUCAAGAUGCAUGAUUUGAAUGGGGGAAAAAAUGCUAACCAACGUGUCACUGGAAAGUAAAGGAACAAUAAAAUAGCUCAAGGAGUCUGAUUUCUGUUUCUUGGUAAUGAUAUGUUAUAUGUCUUGGUUUUGUAUAAACCUCACCUUUCCUAGGAA
This is a long non-coding RNA of Sphaerodactylus townsendi, 789 nucleotides long. RefSeq lists it as uncharacterized. The record is from RefSeq and is a predicted model, not a curated record. The transcript has 3 exons. Lineage: Eukaryota; Metazoa; Chordata; Lepidosauria; Squamata; Sphaerodactylidae.